GGUUAAGCGACUAAGCGUACACGGUGGAUGCCCUGGCAGUCAGAGGCGAUGAAGGGCGUGCUAAUCUGCGAUAAGCGCCGGUAAGGUGAUAUGAACCGUUAUAACCGGCGAUACCCGAAUGGGGAAACCCAGUGUGAUUCGUCACACUAUCAUUAACUGAAUCCAUAGGUUAAUGAGGCGAACCGGGGGAACUGAAACAUCUAAGUACCCCGAGGAAAAGAAAUCAACCGAGAUUCCCCCAGUAGCGGCGAGCGAACGGGGAGGAGCCCAGAGCCUGAAUCAGCAUGUGUGUUAGUGGAAGCGUCUGGAAAGGCGCGCGAUACAGGGUGACAGCCCCGUACACAAAAGCGCAUGUGCUGUGAGCUCGAUGAGUAGGGCGGGACACGUGGUAUCCUGUCUGAAUAUGGGGGGACCAUCCUCCAAGGCUAAAUACUCCUGACUGACCGAUAGUGAACCAGUACCGUGAGGGAAAGGCGAAAAGAACCCCGGCGAGGGGAGUGAAAAAGAACCUGAAACCGUGUACGUACAAGCAGUGGGAGCACCCUUUGGGGUGUGACUGCGUACCUUUUGUAUAAUGGGUCAGCGACUUAUAUUCUGUAGCAAGGUUAACCGAAUAGGGGAGCCGGAG
This 628-nucleotide ribosomal RNA is filed under the name Salmonella enterica. RNAcentral describes it as "partial 23S ribosomal RNA". It matches the Rfam family "Bacterial large subunit ribosomal RNA", at positions 1 to 671 of the family's 2925-position model. The record is from RNAcentral. Lineage: Bacteria; Pseudomonadati; Pseudomonadota; Gammaproteobacteria; Enterobacterales; Enterobacteriaceae.